ACUGGCGCACGGGUGCGUAACGCGUAGAUAAUCUGCCUAUAUCACAGACAUAACCUUGGGAAACUGAGGCUAAUAUCUGAUGAGGUGCUUCGGCAUCAAAGGUUUACCGGAUAUAGAUGAGUCUGCGUCUGAUUAGCUAGUUGGUAAGGUAAUGGCUUACCAAGGCGACGAUCAGUAGCUGGUCUGAGAGGACGAUCAGCCACACUGGAACUGAGACACGGUCCAGACUCCUACGGGAGGCAGCAGUGAGGAAUAUUGCACAAUGGAGGAAACUCUGAUGCAGCAACGCCGCGUGUGGGAUGAAGGAGCUAUGCUUCGUAAACUACUGUCAGAUGGGAGUAAAAGCCUGCUUUGUGGGCUGGGAACGUACCAUCAGAGGAAGGGUCGGCUAACUACGUGCCAGCAGCCGCGGUAAUACGUAGGACCCAAGCGUUGUCCGGAAUCACUGGGUGUAAAGGGUGCGUAGGCGGAUUUUUGCGUCGAAGGUUAAAGACCACAGCUUAACUGAGGGAGUGCCUUCGAUACGGGAAGUCUUGAGUUCGAGAGAGGUAAGUAGAAUUCCUGGUGUAGCGGUGAAAUGCGUAGAUAUCAGGAGGAAUACCAGUGGCGAAGGCGGCUUACUGGCUCGAUACUGACGCUGAGGCACGAAAGCGUGGGGAUCAAACAGGAUUAGAUACCCUGGUAGUCCACGCCUUAAACGAUGUAUGCUUGU
RNAcentral lists this ribosomal RNA (712 nucleotides) under uncultured bacterium. RNAcentral describes it as "bacterial SSU rRNA". It matches the Rfam family "Bacterial small subunit ribosomal RNA", at positions 94 to 820 of the family's 1533-position model. The record is from RNAcentral.